RNAcentral lists this long non-coding RNA (886 nucleotides) under Marmota monax (woodchuck). The record is from RNAcentral. Lineage: Eukaryota; Metazoa; Chordata; Mammalia; Rodentia; Sciuridae.
AGGAUCCAGGCCACAGUGAUCCCAGGACCUGUUGUCCAUGGGCUGAGCUGCAGGAGGCCAAGCAGGCCAGAAGGAAGGGAGUGCAAGUGACGCUUUGGGAUCCAGGGGAGCCAGGUGGGGGGAGCUGUGAGAGUGGGAUAAUGAAGUUUCACUGUAAUUUAGAGCCUUUGCCUUUUAUAGGGAGGUUGUUUCUGAGUUAUUUUCACAAUAGAAUCGGGUAUUCUGAUACCUCGCUGCUGCGUGGAAUCAGAAAUAAUAUAGCAUGUUGAUAUAUCAUCGACCAGGGGCUUCUCUUUCCGAGCCACGUUUACCCAGCAAUUAAGUGAAAUUACGUGACUCGGUAUAGAAAGAUAAUCGCCGGAGAAGCUCUUCUGAUUGCCGUCUCCCACACGUGCAGCAGGCGACCCUGCAAACGGCAGGACGAUGGGAGAGGGGAAUUAACGUGGAAGCUUUGCUGCUGCCCGAGGUGUCAGCUGUUUCCCAGAGCAGAUGCAUGAGGACAUGGAGGAAGAGACAUGAGUGCAGGCCAAAUCCUUUCUCACAGUAUGCUGCAGAGGAAACCAGUCCGUUUUCCAAACAAGAGCAUGGUCCCCAUGGUCUAGGAGUUGAAGGAGAGUGAUAGGCUGGGAGUCCCCUGCUCCCGCAGUGAUGGCUUCUCAGCUCUCCUUUCCCAGCCAGUCAGGUCCUUAGGGCCUUAGGCAGGGCCCAGGGCCUUAAAACAAGGAGGCCCUUGCCCUAACAUGCCCAUAGAAACUCAUGGAAUGUUCCUGAACCCCCUCUCCCAGCUCCAUCCAAUUCUGCCUUGCUUUUCCAUCCCCCUCUGCCAUAUCCUUGAACUCUGUGGCCUGGAAAUGAUGUCACUUCCAUCACCUCUUAACCUCCCCAC